AAGUCGUAACAAGGUCUCCGUUGGUGAACCAGCGGAGGGAUCAUUACCGAGUUAUACAACUCAUCAACCCUGUGAACAUACCUAAAACGUUGCUUCGGCGGGAACAGACGGCCCUGUAACAACGGGCCGCCCCCGCCAGAGGACCCCUAACUCUGUUUUUAUAAUGUUUUUCUGAGUAAACAAGCAAAUAAAUUAAAACUUUCAACAACGGAUCUCUUGGCUCUGGCAUCGAUGAAGAACGCAGCGAAAUGCGAUAAGUAAUGUGAAUUGCAGAAUUCAGUGAAUCAUCGAAUCUUUGAACGCACAUUGCGCCCGCCAGUAUUCUGGCGGGCAUGCCUGUUCGAGCGUCAUUACAACCCUCAGGCCCCCGGGCCUGGCGUUGGGGAUCGGCAGAAGCCCCCUGUGGGCACACGCCGUCCCUCAAAUACAGUGGCGGUCCCGCCGCAGCUUCCAUUGCGUAGUAGCUAACACCUCGCAACUGGAGAGCGGCGCGGCCAUGCCGUAAAACACCCAACUUCUGAAUGUUGACCUCGAAUCAGGUAGGAAU
This 547-nucleotide ribosomal RNA is filed under the name Fusarium fujikuroi. Its description in RNAcentral is "eukaryotic LSU rRNA". The stretch from base 197 to 350 matches the Rfam family "5.8S ribosomal RNA". Lineage: Eukaryota; Fungi; Ascomycota; Sordariomycetes; Hypocreales; Nectriaceae. The record is from RNAcentral.